GGCCGCGUGGCCUAAUGGUUAAGGCGUUGGUUUUCGGCACCAAAGACUUGUGCGUUCGAAUCGCACCGUGGUCG
RNAcentral lists this transfer RNA (74 nucleotides) under Blastomyces percursus. It matches the Rfam family "tRNA". From Rfam's summary of the family: Transfer RNA (tRNA) molecules are approximately 80 nucleotides in length. Their secondary structure includes four short double-helical elements and three loops (D, anti-codon, and T loops). Further hydrogen bonds mediate the characteristic L-shaped molecular structure. tRNAs have two regions of fundamental functional importance: the anti-codon, which is responsible for specific mRNA codon recognition, and the 3' end, to which the tRNAs corresponding amino acid is attached (by aminoacyl-tRNA synthetases). tRNAs cope with the degeneracy of the genetic code in two manners: having more than one tRNA (with a specific anti-codon) for a particular amino acid; and 'wobble' base-pairing, i.e. permitting non-standard base-pairing at the 3rd anti-codon position. The record is from Rfam by way of RNAcentral. Lineage: Eukaryota; Fungi; Ascomycota; Eurotiomycetes; Onygenales; Ajellomycetaceae.